RNAcentral lists this ribosomal RNA (440 nucleotides) under uncultured bacterium. Its description in RNAcentral is "partial 16S ribosomal RNA". It matches the Rfam family "Bacterial small subunit ribosomal RNA", at positions 338 to 795 of the family's 1533-position model. The record is from RNAcentral.
CCUACGGGAGGCAGCAGUAGGGAAUAUUGCUCAAUGGGGGAAACCCUGAAGCAGCAACGCCGCGUGGAGGAUGAAGGUUUUCGGAUUGUAAACUCCUUUUGUUAGAGAAGAUAAUGACGUUAUCUAACGAAUAAGCACCGGCUAACUCCGUGCCAGCAGCCGCGGUAAUACGGAGGGUGCAAGCGUUACUCGGAAUCACUGGGCGUAAAGAGCGCGUAGGCGGGAUAGCAAGUCAGAUGUGAAAUCCUAGGGCUUAACCAUAGAACUGCAUUUGAAACUGUUAUUCUAGAGUAUGGGAGAGGUAGGUGGAAUUCUUGGUGUAGGGGUAAAAUCCGUAGAGAUCAAGAGGAAUACUCAUUGCGAAGGCGACCUGCUAGAACAUAACUGACGCUGAUGCGCGAAAGCGUGGGGAGCAAACAGGAUUAGAUACCCGUGUAGUC